Molecule: long non-coding RNA, 703 nt
Filed under: Gallus gallus (chicken)
Lineage: Eukaryota; Metazoa; Chordata; Aves; Galliformes; Phasianidae
Description: long non-coding RNA NONGGAT008374
Source: RNAcentral
GCUCAGCACAGAAUAUUUCACUUCCUUUCACCCUUUUUGUGCCGAAACACCUUCUUACUUUCUUUCUGAUGCUUUCCCUGCUUGGACUCAUUGCAUGCUUUUUGUUUGGGUUUUUCCCACUCUGACUUCUGAGCAACCUCCUUUGAGGUCUGACCAUCUCAGUUUGUGUUGUUAGCAGGUUUGCAGUCCUUGGGUGUUUCUUCAGUGCGCUGUCUCUUCAGAGAUUCACCCGGAGGAUGGUGUGUAUUGCUAUUCCAGGAGGACAGCCAUGAGGUUAUGAUAAUUGGUCACCGAAUUCAAAGCUCACUGAGUUUGAUGCCAGAUAGGCAAAGACCAGCCGGUGAGAGGCAACAUGCAGCUGCACUCAGAAAGGAUAUAGGAGAGAAAACGAAACAAUGUGCUGAUGCUGGUCUGUACCCAGUGGGCUUAUGGAAAAGCCUGCAGGAAAAAGUCACUGCCUCCAACCCUACCUGUGUCAGGUCUUCAAAACAUCACUGGGCACCCAUCAUGUCCCCUGCAUUUCCACGGCAUCAAAAAACAAAGGCAUGGAGCCAACCCCCAGUAAAGUCAGUUGAAGUUUCCCUAUCAACUUAAGGUGGACCUGCAUCAUUAUUACAAGCAUCAUCCCUGGCUUUCUGGAAGCUACUUGUUAUUUUCUUAACAGCCAGCAGGCAAAUUGAUUUGCACAGAAUUUAUAACAAAG